GAGGAGCUUGCUCCUCUGAUCAGUGGCGAACGGGUGAGUAACACGUGAGCAACCUGCCCCAGACUCUGGGAUAACAGUUGGAAACAGCUGCUAAUACCGGAUACGAGACGGAGAGGCAUCUCUACCGUCUGGAAAGUUUUUCGGUCUGGGAUGGACUCGCGGCCUAUCAGCUAGUUGGUGAGGUAAUGGCUCACCAAGGCGACGACGGGUAGCCGGCCUGAGAGGGCGACCGGCCACACUGGGACUGAGACACGGCCCAGACUCCUACGGGAGGCAGCAGUGGGGAAUAUUGCACAAUGGGCGAAAGCCUGAUGCAGCGACGCCGCGUGAGGGAUGAAGGCCUUCGGGUUGUAAACCUCUUUCAGCAGGGAAGAAGCGAAAGUGACGGUACCUGCAGAAGAAGCACCGGCUAACUACGUGCCAGCAGCCGCGGUAAUACGUAGGGUGCGAGCGUUGUCCGGAAUUAUUGGGCGUAAAGAGCAUGUAGGCGGUUUGUCGCGUCUGCAGUGAAAAUCCGGGGCUCAACCCCGGACUUGCUGUGGGUACGGGCAGACUAGAGUAUGGUAGGGGAGACCGGAAUUCCUGGUGUAGCGGUGGAAUGCGCAGAUAUCAGGAGGAACACCGAUGGCGAAGGCAGGUCUCUGGGCCAUAACUGACGCUGAGAAGCGAAAGCAUGGGGAGCGAACAGGAUUAGAUACCCUGGUAGUCCAUGCCGUAAACGUUGGGCGCUAGGUGUGGGACUCAUUCCACGAGUUCCGUGCCGCAGCUAACGCAUUAAGCGCC
Molecule: ribosomal RNA, 783 nt
Filed under: uncultured bacterium
Lineage: Bacteria
Description: bacterial SSU rRNA
Rfam family: Bacterial small subunit ribosomal RNA
Source: RNAcentral